Pelodiscus sinensis (Chinese soft-shelled turtle) is the source of this 2393-nucleotide non-coding RNA. The record is from RefSeq and is a predicted model, not a curated record. NCBI's taxonomy places the organism in Eukaryota, Metazoa, Chordata, Testudines, Trionychidae.
UCCAGAUAAGUAUAGACUUGGCCUUAUUGAGCAACGUCAGAGCCCUAUUUCUUCUUUGGAGUGGGAUGGAAACAAAUCUCAGGCUUUGCUUCAGUUUUGGACAAUGUUUUUAUUAUAUGUUUAGUGUUCUCUAUACAAAAAAUCAAUUUUACAGUGAUUCUUACCCCCCCAAAGAUAACUGAAUAUUUUGGCCUUUUUCAUUGCUCAUGCAGUCAGUUUAUAAGUCCAUAUAUUAAGCAUUUCUCUCUAGUCCACCAAUUGUCUUGCUGUAAGCCUUUCUUUACAGCCUCAGAUAUGCAUUUAUCACUGGGGGAAAAGCAGAUUAACACAAAAUAACUAUUUUUUUAAAGGCAAAUAAAUAUGUAGAAUGUACUGGAAUGACCAGGAGGUUUUAGACAGAGUUUUGGGUUAAACAUUGACAAAUAAUAAAUGAAACAAAACUGAAAACAAAAAUAGUCCAAUACUUUCUUUCCAACACAAGCUGUGGAAAUGAAUGUUUAAAACUCCCUUGUGCAAAGGAAGAAAUCUGUUUUGCAGAUAUGACUUGGAUUUGGACUGCAAUUGAUGUCACGAUCUGAGAAUGAGGUCCACUUGGAACAAAUACAUGGAGAAAUGAAAAUUGCUGGGCAAAGACAACGCCACUGACAGAGUGGCAUUUUUAAGAAUCGGAAAAGCAUUAUUAUUCCCUUCAAUAAAAUGGGUGGGUGUGCAUGAAACAAAACAUGUUUUUUGUUUUUAUGAGGUUUUAUUUUUUUUAUUGCUUCACUGAAAUUGUUUGUUGCUAGUACAGAAUUAACCCAGUACAAUGCAUCUUGUUUCCAGAGGCAAUCACUGCUGUGCUAGGACAUGCCCUUCACUUCUGGCUACGUUCCAGGAAAUGAAUUCAGUACCUCAGAAUUCUUCUCCGGGUCAAGACAGUUGCUAGCUUGGAUGGGAAAAGGCCACAAUGGAUCAACUGAGUGCUGCUAGUCAGGCCCCCAGCACAAUUGAUUGCUCAUGCCUGUGCUUGCUGCAGCCUCUGACAACACUGCUGAGCCGGAGGGAGCCUUGAGCCUGGGCUUGAUCACAUCUGCAGAGUUGCUGCUAGGACUGCUGCUGCCUAUUUACCCGAGGGAGACCGAAGACAUCCAGGAGGUCCAAAGGAGAUGUUGCCACACUGAGUCACACAGAAAAACAAGCUGAAGCCACACCAUAGAUGAUCAGACCGUCGUCUUCCUUCUUCAUCCUGGAAAGGGUACGAUGGAUAACAAAAACACAGAGCGGGGAAUCAGAGUACUGGUGCUGAAGGAUUUGAUCCUAACCUGUGUGAAGAGUCCCACUGGAUUCCAUAGGACUAUUUGCAUGAGUAAGUCCAGCUGGGUUUGACUCAUGUUUUAAAUUCUUCAGGGCUGGGAUCUACUUUUCGUUCCAUUUAUUGGCUUUGGUAUGUUUCGGCAGAUUAUGCACCUGCCCGUCUAGCGAGGUAGUCAUACCGAACUCAGUCCCAUGGUAUCAGAAGCGCUAAAGUGCCCAGGACCGCCAAUGUGGGGGCAAGGCAGGGCAAUAAUUUUAAAGGUGCUGGGGUUCCCAGGUUACUACUGUGGCAGUGGCGAUGGCCAAAGCCCCAGGCUGUGCGUUUCCAGCAAUGCUGAAGAGCUAAACUGGGAAGGCUUGCCCCAGUCCUGCCCCACCCCUCCUGGGGGUGCAGAGAUGGGCCCCUCCCACCGCGCCCAGCAGCCUGGCAAGUCUGUCUGCUGCUCCACUAGUGCUCUACAGCUAACUAUACUAAGCAGAAUAAGUAAUCAUAGCAGGGUAUGAGAUGGAAUCAAAUUCUUCUCUCUAACCAAGCAACAGUUUGAGUCCCCUGAUUAAAAAAGCUCAUUUCCUUUUCUUCAGAUGGGAGACAGAUAGGGAGAGGGGAGCUGCAAUGGUACCAGCACAGUAGAUCAAAGCAGACAAGUAUUAACUCGGAAACAGUCUGCAGUUAUUAAGCCAAGAGGUUUUAAUGAGAGUCUUAAAAAAAAGGAUUUCAUUCUUUUUGACAUACUCUCUAUAAAAUAUGAGUCCUGAGAGGCAAGGCUUCUGUAACUGGCAAAGCAACUCCAAACUGCUGGUCAGUCUCCAAUGGAAGGUGCGAACACUGCAGAAUAGCAGCACCACACAAUGUUGAAGUACAGCAGAGAUGGGGAGCCUCCGGCCCACGGGCUGGAUCUGGCUCCAGCACACGUCUUGCUCAGGCUCCUGGCUCUUCUGCAGCGGGGCAAGCUGGUGCUCCAGCCACGUGGGGGAGUGCCAAGGAUCAGGCCCCUUCCUACAUAGCUGGAGCACCAGCACUGGCUCCCUGCUGCUGGUAAGGUUGCCAUGUGCCCUGUAAAAAACCUCACAAAACACUGGAUAUGUAAAAUGUCCAGUAU